Stegostoma tigrinum is the source of this 1140-nucleotide long non-coding RNA. RefSeq lists it as uncharacterized. NCBI's taxonomy places the organism in Eukaryota, Metazoa, Chordata, Chondrichthyes, Orectolobiformes, Stegostomatidae. The transcript is spliced from 2 exons. The record is from RefSeq and is a predicted model, not a curated record.
CUCUCCCCCACCCCCUUCCAGCGAACAUCCGACUGCCACAGCGCACACUCGCCGCAGGGUGUGUGUGAGAGAGAGAGGUUUUAAACUCACUCCCGCUCUCAACACACACCCAUCACCGUCGCCGCCGCUACUCUCCUCCCCCAGCGCUUCGUCUUCCCAGGACCGCCUCGCGUGCUUAACGAUGAUCCGGACAAGACAAGACCACUCCACUCUCCUAUCUAAAUGUCUCCCUUUCUCGGCACUCUUCUUCUUUCUCCCCCCCCCCUCCCCGGAUCGAUGAUCAACCACCACUGUUCCUUCAGGCGGACAUAUUGUUUUCGGAAGGGGGGGGGAAGCUGACCGUGUCACUACGUUCCGGCAGCACGCUGUAUCCCUCCGAGCCGUUCUCCCUUCAGACCCCGCAAGCAAGGCAUGGUGUGAGGAGGGCAGGGCACCCCCACCACGACCCCUCACUCUGCCCAAAGGUGCAGGACGAUCCAGCGUGCAUUGUAACUUGCCAACAGAUUUUCAGCCUCUGCCUCUUAAGGGAUGCGGCGAUGGCCAGAAAUAAAUGCUGAUACGCUCUGAAGGAUCCUUUGUUUGCGCGGCAGGAGGAGGCAGCGGUGAGACGGCCUCUGUUUUCCUCCUUCUGAUUGACAGCAGAUUACUGGAUGGGCUCGAAUUACACACAUGGCCAAUUAGAUGCUAUCUUUCUGCAGCACAGAGGCCAAAAAAAGAUAUUUCUUUCAUCCUCGGGGAAAACGUUGACUGAAUAUCGCAAGUGGAAUGAUCAUGUGCAAUACAGAGGCAAAAAAAUGGAAACGUGAAAUAAAAACUGAAAACAGGCUUGGCAGCAUCUGUGAAGAGACGGACAUUUAAUGUUUUGGGAUAACAAGGCAUAGAGGUAGACGAACACAGCAGGCCAAGCAGCAUCAGAGGAGCCGGAAGGCUGACGUUUCGGGCCUAGACGCUUCUUCAGAAAAAUGUUUUGGGUCCAUGAUUUUUCGUAAGAACGAGUGCUGUCAAACCCCAAGUCUUUUCAACAUUUUGUUUUUAUUUCUACAUUUUUCGAAUUCGAUUUGGGUGAUGGAAAAAAAACCACCAGUUUGCUAGUAGCAAUUAUAAAUCAUGUAAUGAAUUAAACGGGACCCAAGCGUUUCA